RNAcentral lists this unclassified non-coding RNA (26 nucleotides) under Mus musculus (house mouse). Its description in RNAcentral is "oocyte_clustered_small_RNA5054". Lineage: Eukaryota; Metazoa; Chordata; Mammalia; Rodentia; Muridae. The record is from RNAcentral.
UUUACUUCAGACGGCCUGGGCAGAUC